This 379-nucleotide ribosomal RNA is filed under the name uncultured eukaryote. RNAcentral's name for it is "partial 18S ribosomal RNA". It matches the Rfam family "Eukaryotic small subunit ribosomal RNA", at positions 592 to 976 of the family's 1831-position model. The record is from RNAcentral.
CAAUAGCGUAUAUUAAAGUUGUUGCAGUUAAAAAGCUCGUAGUUGAACUUCAGGCUUGGCGGGGUGGUCUGCCUCACGGUAUGUACUACCCGGCCGAGCCUUACCUCCUGGUGAGCCUGCAUGCCGUUUAUUCGGUGUGUAGGGGAACCAGGAAUUUUACUUUGAAAAAAUUAGAGUGUUCAAAGCAGGCAUAUGCCCGAAUACAUUAGCGUGGAAUAAUAGAAUAGGACGUGCGGUUCUAUUUUGUUGGUUUCUAGGAUCGCCGUAAUGAUUAAUAGGGACGGUUGGGGGCAUUAGUAUUCAGUUGCUAGAGGUGAAAUUCUUAGAUUUACUGAAGACUAACUACUGCGAAAGCAUUUGCCAAGGACGUUUUCAUUAA